This 464-nucleotide ribosomal RNA is filed under the name uncultured bacterium. RNAcentral's name for it is "partial 16S ribosomal RNA". It matches the Rfam family "Bacterial small subunit ribosomal RNA", at positions 339 to 795 of the family's 1533-position model. The record is from RNAcentral.
CUACGGGAUGCUCCAGUGGGGAAUAUUGCACAAUGAGCGAAAGCUUGAUGCAGCCAUACCGCGUGUGUGAAGAAGGCCCGAGGGUUGUAAAGCACUUUCAAUUGGGAGGAAGGUUAAGUAGUUAAUACCUGCUUAAUUUGACGUUACCUUUAGAAGAAGCACCGGCUAACUCUGUGCCAGCAGCCGCGGUAAUACAGAGGGUGCAAGCGUUAUUCGGAAUUACUGGGCGUAAAGCGCGCGUAGGCGGACUAUUAAGUCAGUUGUGAAAGCCCUGGGCUCAACCUGGGAACUGCAUCUGAUACUGGUAGUCUAGAGUUUAAGAGAGGGAAGUGGAAUUCCAGGUGUAGCAGUGAAAUGCGUAGAUAUCUGGAGGAACAUCAGUGGCGAAGGCGACUUCCUGGCUUAAAACUGACGCUGAGGUGCGAAAGCGUGGGUAGCGAACGGGAUUAGAUACCCCGGUAGUC